This 75-nucleotide transfer RNA is filed under the name Deltaproteobacteria bacterium PRO3. RNAcentral describes it as "tRNA-Ile". It matches the Rfam family "tRNA". From Rfam's summary of the family: Transfer RNA (tRNA) molecules are approximately 80 nucleotides in length. Their secondary structure includes four short double-helical elements and three loops (D, anti-codon, and T loops). The record is from RNAcentral. Lineage: Bacteria; Deltaproteobacteria.
UGCGGAGUAGCGAAGCGGUAUCGCGCCACCCUGAUAAGGUGGAGGUCGCCAGUUCGACCCUGGCCUCCGCAACAA